CAGCAGCCGCGGUAAUACGAAGGGUGCAAGCGUUAAUCGGAAUUACUGGGCGUAAAGCGUGCGUAGGCGGUGAGUUAAGUCUGCUGUGAAAUCCCCGGGCUCAACCUGGGAAUGGCAGUGGAUACUGGCUCGCUAGAGUGUGUCAGAGGAUGGUGAAAUUCCCGGUGUAGCGGUGAAAUGCGUAGAGAUCGGAAGGAACAUCUGUGGCGAAGGCGACUAUCUGGGCCAACACUGACACUGAGGCACGAAAGCGUGGGGAGCAAACAGGAUUAGAUACCCGCGUAGUCCCUGUCUCUUAUAC
This 301-nucleotide ribosomal RNA is filed under the name uncultured bacterium. RNAcentral describes it as "partial 16S ribosomal RNA". It matches the Rfam family "Bacterial small subunit ribosomal RNA", at positions 509 to 807 of the family's 1533-position model. The record is from RNAcentral.